GCGAGUGAAGCGGCAAAAGCUCAAAUUUGAAAUCUAGCACCUUCGGUGUUCGAGUUGUAAUUUGAAGAUGGUAACCUUGGGUUUGGCUCUUGUCUAUGUUCCUUGGAACAGGACGUCAUAGAGGGUGAGAAUCCCGUCUGAUGAGAUGCCCAUUCCUAUGUAAGGUGCUAUCGAAGAGUCGAGUUGUUUGGGAAUGCAGCUCUAAGUGGGUGGUAAAUUCCAUCUAAAGCUAAAUAUUGGCGAGAGACCGAUAGCGAACAAGUACAGUGAUGGAAAGAUGAAAAGAACUUUGAAAAGAGAGUGAAAAAGUACGUGAAAUUGUUGAAAGGGAAGGGCAUUAGAUCAGACUUGGUGUUUUACGAUUAUCUUCUCUUCUUGAGUUGUGCACUCGUAUUUCACUGGGCCAGCAUCGAUUCGGAUGGCAAGAUAAUGGCAGUUGAAUGUGGCUUCACUUCGGUGGAGUGUUAUAGCUUCUGCUGAUAUUGCCUGUCUGGAUCGAGGGCUGCGUCUUUUGACUAGGAUGCUGGCGUAAUGA
Molecule: ribosomal RNA, 535 nt
Filed under: Hansenula anomala
Lineage: Eukaryota; Fungi; Ascomycota; Saccharomycetes; Phaffomycetales; Wickerhamomycetaceae
Description: Wickerhamomyces anomalus partial large subunit ribosomal RNA
Rfam family: Eukaryotic large subunit ribosomal RNA
Source: RNAcentral